GGUAAUUCUCUCUUUCUCUCUCUAGAAUGCCCAACCAGUGAGAGAAAGUCUGGAAAUAAGCUUUAUCAAGGGUUUUGAACUGAGAUAGUGAAAGAAUUCAAAGGUUCUAGUCAAAAGAGCUCAAAGGUAUGAAAACUAGAGCUAGAGAGAGAAAAUCAUGCAAGCUCUAUAUCAAGUUUCCAUGGAGUUUUGAAGAAACGUAAGAGAGGAGAAGAAGAAGAAGACAAGCUGUUGGAAGAUCUCUAGAAGCUGCUGGAAAUUCAAGAUAUUUAUAGGCCAAAUUUAUCCAUUCCCUUAAAAUUACCAAAUUACCCCUCCACCAAUUAGCUUACUCUCCUCUAAUCUUUUAUGCAAUAUUUUUGCUCUUUUGACACUAGGACAAGGUCCAUAAUGGUCUAAACAUACUCGAGUUCAUGAAAACAUAAAAUUUUAACCCGAUGUGAAAAAUGACCAUUUUGCCCCUAUUAUGAAAAUUGUUGCAACUUCUAGUUUUCUUCGUGUUUUCAUCGGUACACAUCAUUUAUGCAGUCUUAUACUUAUUUAGACCUUAAAAUAUCAUAAAACUUUCUUCUGUGAGC
RNAcentral lists this long non-coding RNA (578 nucleotides) under Theobroma cacao (cacao). RNAcentral describes it as "long non-coding RNA (TCAC_LNC001578)". Lineage: Eukaryota; Viridiplantae; Streptophyta; Magnoliopsida; Malvales; Malvaceae. The record is from RNAcentral.